GCUCAGGACGAACGCUGGCGGCGUGCUAAUACAUGCAAGUCGAGCGGACAGAAGGGAGCUUGCUCCCGGAUGUUAGCGGCGGACGGGUGAGUAACACGUGGGUAACCUGCCUGUAAGACUGGGAUAACUCCGGGAAACCGGAGCUAAUACCGGAUAGUUCCUUGAACCGCAUGGUUCAAGGAUGAAAGACGGUUUCGGCUGUCACUUACAGAUGGACCCGCGGCGCAUUAGCUAGUUGGUGGGGUAAUGGCUCACCAAGGCGACGAUGCGUAGCCGACCUGAGAGGGUGAUCGGCCACACUGGGACUGAGACACGGCCCAGACUCCUACGGGAGGCAGCAGUAGGGAAUCUUCCGCAAUGGACGAAAGUCUGACGGAGCAACGCCGCGUGAGUGAUGAAGGUUUUCGGAUCGUAAAGCUCUGUUGUUAGGGAAGAACAAGUGCGAGAGUAACUGCUCGCACCUUGACGGUACCUAACCAGAAAGCCACGGCUAACUACGUGCCAGCAGCCGCGGUAAUACGUAGGUGGCAAGCGUUGUCCGGAAUUAUUGGGCGUAAAGGGCUCGCAGGCGGUUUCUUAAGUCUGAUGUGAAAGCCCCCGGCUCAACCGGGGAGGGUCAUUGGAAACUGGGAAACUUGAGUGCAGAAGAGGAGAGUGGAAUUCCACGUGUAGCGGUGAAAUGCGUAGAGAUGUGGAGGAACACCAGUGGCGAAGGCGACUCUCUGGUCUGUAACUGACGCUGAGGAGCGAAAGCGUGGGGAGCGAACAGGAUUAGAUACCCUGGUAGUCCACGCCGUAAACGAUGAGUGCUAAGUGUUAGGGGGUUUCCGCCCCUUAGUGCUGCAGCUAACGCAUUAAGCACUCCGCCUGGGGAGUACGGUCGCAAGACUGAAACUCAAAGGAAUUGACGGGGGCCCGCACAAGCGGUGGAGCAUGUGGUUUAAUUCGAAGCAACGCGAAGAACCUUACCAGGUCUUGACAUCCUCUGACAACCCUAGAGAUAGGGCUUUCCCUUCGGGGACAGAGUGACAGGUGGUGCAUGGUUGUCGUCAGCUCGUGUCGUGAGAUGUUGGGUUAAGUCCCGCAACGAGCGCAACCCUUGAUCUUAGUUGCCAGCAUUCAGUUGGGCACUCUAAGGUGACUGCCGGUGACAAACCGGAGGAAGGUGGGGAUGACGUCAAAUCAUCAUGCCCCUUAUGACCUGGGCUACACACGUGCUACAAUGGACAGAACAAAGGGCUGCAAGACCGCAAGGUUUAGCCAAUCCCAUAAAUCUGUUCUCAGUUCGGAUCGCAGUCUGCAACUCGACUGCGUGAAGCUGGAAUCGCUAGUAAUCGCGGAUCAGCAUGCCGCGGUGAAUACGUUCCCGGGCCUUGUACACACCGCCCGUCACACCACGAGAGUUUGCAACACCCGAAGUCGGUGAGGUAACCUUUAUGGAGCCAGCCGCCGAAGGUGGGGCAGAUGAUUGGGGUGAAGUCGUAACAAGGUA
Molecule: ribosomal RNA, 1492 nt
Filed under: Bacillus sp. (in: firmicutes)
Lineage: Bacteria; Bacillati; Bacillota; Bacilli; Caryophanales; Bacillaceae
Description: bacterial SSU rRNA
Rfam family: Bacterial small subunit ribosomal RNA
Source: RNAcentral